Molecule: ribosomal RNA, 406 nt
Filed under: Metagonia sp. 1 JJA-2006
Lineage: Eukaryota; Metazoa; Arthropoda; Arachnida; Araneae; Pholcidae
Description: partial 16S ribosomal RNA
Rfam family: Bacterial large subunit ribosomal RNA
Source: RNAcentral
AUGUAAUAAUAAAUAGCCGCAGUUAACUGUGCUAAGGUAGCAUAAUCACUUGUUUCCUAAUUAGAAAAUAGAAUGAAUGGAUUAACGAAUUAAAACUAUUUCUUACUACCCGAAUAAAAUUAAUCUUUGGGUCAAAACCCCCAAAUAUAACAACAAGACGACAAGACCCUGAUAAACUUAUUAAUUUAGUUGGGGCGACAAAAUAAAAAAACCUUAUCUAAACUCUAUUACUCAACCUAACAUAAGACAAUGACCAGUUACUACAGGGAUAACAGCGUUAUUUUUCUUUAGAGCCCUUAUCCAAAGAAAAGAUUACGACCUCGAUGUUGAAUUAAUUAGUCUAGAUGAUGCAAAAAUUAUCAAAGAAAGUCUGUUCGACUUACAAUAAAUUACGUGAUCUGAGUUC